CGUAGGGUGCGAGCGUUAAUCGGAAGUACUGGGCGUAAAGCGUGCGCAGGCGGUUUUGUAAGACAGGCGUGAAAUCCCCGGGCUCAACCUGGGAACUGCGCUUGUGACUGCAAGGCUAGAGUACGGCAGAGGGGGUGGAAUUCCACGUGUAGCAGUGAAAUGCGUAGAGAUGUGGAGGAACACCAAUGGCGAAGGCAGCCCCCUGGGUCGAUACUGACGCUCAUGCACGAAAGCGUGGGUAGCAAACAGGAUUAGAUACCCUGGUAGUCCACGCCCUAAACGAUGUCAACUAGGUGUUGGGUGGGUAAAACCAUUUAGUACCGGAGCUAAACGCGUGAAGUUGACCGCCUGGGGAGUACGGCCGCAAGGUUA
This 372-nucleotide ribosomal RNA is filed under the name uncultured organism. RNAcentral's name for it is "bacterial SSU rRNA". It matches the Rfam family "Bacterial small subunit ribosomal RNA", at positions 526 to 896 of the family's 1533-position model. The record is from RNAcentral.